Molecule: ribosomal RNA, 492 nt
Filed under: uncultured bacterium
Lineage: Bacteria
Description: partial 16S ribosomal RNA
Rfam family: Bacterial small subunit ribosomal RNA
Source: RNAcentral
AUUGAACGCUGGCGGCAUGCUUUACACAUGCAAGUCGAACGGUAACAGGCCUUCGGGUGCUGACGAGUGGCGAACGGGUGAGUAAUGCAUCGGAACGUACCCAGAGGUGGGGGAUAACGCAGCGAAAGCUGUGCUAAUACCGCAUGUGAUCUGAGGAUGAAAGCGGGGGACCGAGCAGCAAUGUUUGGCCUCGCGCCUUUGGAGCGGCCGAUGUCGGAUUAGCUAGUUGGUGGGGUAAAGGCCUACCAAGGCGACGAUCCGUAGCUGGUCUGAGAGGACGACCAGCCACACUGGGACUGAGACACGGCCCAGACUCCUACGGGAGGCAGCAGUGGGGAAUUUUGGACAAUGGGCGCAAGCCUGAUCCAGCAAUGCCGCGUGCGGGAAGAAGGCCUUCGGGUUGUAAACCGCUUUCGGCAGGAACGAAACGGUGUCCGCUAAUACCGGGCGCUAAUGACGGUACCUGCAGAAUAAGCACCGGCUAACUACGUG